Molecule: long non-coding RNA, 681 nt
Organism: Suricata suricatta (meerkat)
Lineage: Eukaryota; Metazoa; Chordata; Mammalia; Carnivora; Herpestidae
Source: Ensembl
CCCCCCCCCCCCCCCCCCCCCCCCCCCCCCCCCCCCCCCCCCCCCCCCCCCCCCCCCCCCCCCCCCCCCCCCCCCCCCCCCCCCCCGCCCUGCUGACGCCCCUCCCCCCUCCCCCCAGCUCAUGUGCUGAAGUUCCACCAUGAGAGCGCCAGGCCCCCCAGGCCCAUCUUGCAGGCCCUCGGCCACCCCAGCACUCCCGGUGAAGCCUGGCUCCCUGGACUAGGAGGACGAGAUGGCCCCCACCCUAAGGACAGAGGUGAGCCCGGAGCCCUUGGUCAGGUGAGCAGCCCUCGGCCCGAAGGGAGCCAGCCUCCAGGACCCCUGGGAGGAGCAGGACAGGCCCCGUGCUGCCCUGUGUGACCCUGCCCCUUCCCGGACUCUGGGCACCGAGAGCGGCCGAGCAGGAGGAGCCUGGAGGCAGAAGAAGGGGGGGGGCCUUCCCUCUGUACUGUCCCCACACUCAGAUAAAGUGCAGUGUGCUCACCCCGGGAGGCGUCCCUGGGGCCCCGAGUCCGUCCCCGAGUCCGUCCCUGCCGAGGGGAGUCCAAGUCUCCCCGCCCCCCACACCCCAGAGAGAAGCCUCCAUCCUUCCGUGGCUUCAAGGACCCCCACCCCGCGGCCUCCUGUGCCUUGUCGCUCAGUGUGCUGGCCCCGCCCCCAGUCCAGGCCCUGCCCGGGACA